Molecule: ribosomal RNA, 428 nt
Filed under: uncultured prokaryote
Description: bacterial SSU rRNA
Rfam family: Bacterial small subunit ribosomal RNA
Source: RNAcentral
UGAGGAAUAUUGCGCAAUGGGGGCAACCCUGACGCAGCGACGCCGCGUGAGUGAGGAAGGCCUUCGGGUCGUAAAGCUCUGUCAAAGGGAAAGAAAUGCAUAAUGGCUAAUACCUGUUAUGUUUGACGGUACCCUUAAAGGAAGCACCGGCUAACUCCGUACCAGCAGCCGCGGUAAUACGGCGGGUGCAAGCGGUGUUCGGAAUUACUGGGCGUAAAGGGCGCGUAGGCGGUUUGAUAAGUCAGAGGUGAAAGCCCACGGCUUAACAGUGGAAGUGCAUUUGAAACGGUCAGACUUGAGUACCAGAGGGGAAAGUGGAAUUCCCGGUGUAGAGGUGAAAUUCGUAGAUAUCGGGAGGAAUACCGGUGGCGAAGGCGACUUUCUGGCUGGAUACUGACGCUGAGGCGCGAAAGCGUGGGGAGCAAACA